This 7038-nucleotide long non-coding RNA is filed under the name Homo sapiens (human). RNAcentral describes it as "HSALNT0077071". Lineage: Eukaryota; Metazoa; Chordata; Mammalia; Primates; Hominidae. The record is from RNAcentral.
GGAGGAAUAACAUUAGGAGAAAUAUCUAAUGUAGAUGAUGGGUUGAUGGGUGCAACAAAACACCAUGACACAUGUAUACCUAUGUAACAAACCUGCACAUUCUGCACAUGUAUCUCAGAACUUAAAAUAUAACACACACACAAAAAAAUUGCCAAUUUCAUGCUGUAAUAGCAAGCUCAGUUCAAUGGCCCAAUAAAAUAUGACAGCUGUCAAUACUCACCAGCAUUUCAAAUUUCCUUCCACUCUGUACUUGGCUGACAAAAUUAAGCACUCCUUAUACCAACACUCUUAGAAGAAACCAUUUAUCAGAGCAACAUUCAAAAUGGCAAUACACUUUAGCCAUUCUUUUCCCUUCCACCCAAUACUUGGGCCCCUGGGAUUGGGACUUAAGAGAGAUGUGGCUACCUACUCUUGAGAGUCACUUGACAUAAAAACAGUGAAGAUAGGCUGGGCACAGUGGGUCAUGCCUGUAACCCCAGCACUUUGGGAGGCCGGGGCAGAUGGAUCAUUUGAGGUCAGGAGUUUGAGACCAGCCUGGUGAACAUAGUGAAACCCUGUCUCUACUAAAAAUACAAAAAUUAGCUGGGCAUGGUGGUACGCACCUGUGAUCGCAGCUACUCGGGAGGCUGAGGCAAGAGAAUUGCUUGAGCCUGGGAGGUGGAGGUUGCAGUGAGCCAAGAUUGUAGCACUGCACUCCAGCCUGGGUGACAGAGUGAGACUGUCUCAAAAAAAAGAAAAAAAAAACAGUGAAGAUGAUCAAAUGAAUCUUCUCAAGCUAAUAUUGAAUUCGUUGCUUGUUGCUGGAACUUCAUAGUUAUUUUUCCAGAGAAGUCACCUAAAGGCAUGUCAUUGCAGGCAUCUAAGAUGAUCACAAAACUCCCAUCUCAAUAAUCACCCCCAACCCCUAGCCUGGGUUGGCCAAGGAACUUAGUGCACAGUGUUCUCAACACCAGGGAAGGGAGUGUUAGUCCCUCAGAACAUAUGCAGACAUGGAGGGUGGCUCCUCUGACUCUGGAAUCUCUCUGUUCCUCUGAUUAGUUCACAGGUAUCUGUGCAUUGAGUUUUUAACCACUCUCACAUACUUUUACUCUUCUAAGAAUUGUUUUAGAGAUCUUCCAAAUGUUCUAUACAAAUAGGCCCAGCCCCAAACCGUCUCCUGGCUCCUCCAUCCUCACCUAUCUUCUCUGCUUUCUUCUCUCUUUCACUUUCUUCCCCAGCAGCAAAGUAAACUUCUCUCUAUGCUUUAGACAGAGCAGUUUACCCAACUCCUUUAAUUGUCCUGGCACAUGCAACAUCUGGUUUUUUUAGGUCUCACUUCUAACCCCAAGCAGCUUAUCAAGAUAUUUUUUGAUAAAGAGUUCCCUCCCUAAAAUUAAAAGCUAUUAAGGUGACAAAUUGUUUGCCUGCAUUCACUACUGGGUCAGAUUCUUGAGCAGAGAAUUCUUCUGCCAUCCAGCAGAAUAGGGAAGUCUUACCCUGGCUUAAAUACUGGCAGUCUGCAAAUGAGGAAGCAGGGGAUGGAGGUGGGGGUCAGAGAGAUGUGUGUGUGAUUUGCCACAAAUAUGGAGUUAAAGGAAAUAGAGUAGAGCUCAAAGCACCAAUACCAAAUCAAUGAACUUUUGUUGGCUUGAACCAGGAUGAUGAUGGUAUUAGUGGAGCAGUAGACAGACUUAUGAAUAGAAUUGAUAAAAUUUUGGAUUGCAUCAGAUGUGAAGAAUGAAAAAGAAGGAAGACUCUAGAAUAAUUUUGUCUCUAGAUUGAACAAGCAGAUAGGUGAAAGUAACAUUUACUAAGAUAGUGGGAAAUUGGGAUAAUUUUAAGGCAAAAAUUCAAUAUGUAAGUUUUGGGCACAUCAUGUUCGAGAUGUCCAACAUGUGUUCAUCCCCACAAUAUAUAAUACAUAAUGAUAUACAUCCAAGUUAUACCAAGAUAUCAAGUAAGCAGUUGAAACCAAAAACAGGCUGGGCAUGGUGGCUCACGCCUGUAAUCCCUGCACUUUGGGAGGCUGAGGCGGGUAGCUCACCUGAGGUCAGGAGUUUGAGACUAGCCUGGGCAACAUGGUGAAACCCCGUCUCUACUAAAAAUACAAAAAUUAGCUGGGCAUGAUGGCAGGCACCUGUAAUCUCAGCUACUGGGGAAGCUGAGGAAGGAGAAUCGCUUGAAUCCAGGAGGCGGAGGUUGCAGUCAGCUGAGAUGGCGCCACUACACUCCAGCCUGGGUAACAAGAGUGAAACUAAGUCAAAAAAGAAAGAAAGAAAAGAAAAGAAAAAGGAAAAGAAAGGAAAGGAAAGGAAAGGAAAGGAAAGGAAAGGAAAGGAAAGGAAAGGAAAGGAAAGGAAAGGAAAGGAAAGGAAGGCAGGGCAGGGCAGGGCAGGGCAAGGCAGGGCAAGGCAAGGCAAGGCAAGGCAGAAAGAAAAGAAAAGAAAAAAGAAAAGAAAAGUAAAAAGAAAAGAAAAGAGACUAAAAACAGCCAGUAGCUAAAAGGGGACAUCUGACCUGAAGACAUAGAUUUGGGUUUCUCAGAAUAUAAAUAGGAUUCGUAGCAAAGGGAACAGGAAAAAUCACCUAAGGAGUAAGUGAGAUAGAGAAGAGCACCAAAGGUUGAGGUCUGGGGUACUCCUCAAUUAGAGGCUUAGAAAAGGAUUCAGCAAAGGAGACCAAAAACCAGGUACUAAAAAGAUAGGAGUAAAGUCAAGAAUAGUCAACUAUUACAUGUCACACACCACCAUAAACUUAGUGGCCUUAAACAAUAGCUAUUUUAUUAUAAGCAUGGAGUCUGUAGGUCAGGAAUUCAGAAAGAGCCCAGCUAAACUGGCUUAUCUGCACACUAUCUGGGCCUCUGCUGGAAAGACUUCAAGACUAGGGUAACGAGAUGUCUAAGCGCUGGCUAGUUGGAAUCAUCUGAAGUUCAUCCUCUAACAUGUCCCAUGCCUGGGCUGAGAGGACUCAAAGACAAGACUUGAUGACAAAACAUCUGUAUGUGUCCCCUCCAUGGGGCUCAGCUUCCUCACAGCCUACAGCCCUCAGUUAGUUUGUUUUCUUAAUGGAAUAUUAGGACUCUACACCAAAUGUCUCAACUAACAAGACAGAAGCUGUAUUGCCUUUUGUGACCUAGCAUGAAAAGUCAGGCAGCAUCACUUCUAAUAUAUUCUGUUAUAGGCAAGUUCUAAGUGUACUCAGAUUCAAGAAGAAAAGAUCUAGAUUCUACCACUCACAGGGAAGUGGCAAAAUUGUAGGAGAGCAUGUGGUAGGGGUCAUACCAUUGUAGCCAUUUUUGAAAAAUGUAAUCUUCCCCCAUCAACUAUGUUAAAUGCUAUUGAGAGGUCAAUUGAGAUGUAGACUUUUAAAUGUCCAAAUGAUUUUACAACAUGAGGUGGAUGAUGACAUUAUGAGUCUUCACUAACUUCCUAAAUAAAAUCAAUUUUAUCUUCCUUGUCCCUUAUUUAAUCACCUAUCGUAAUGCAAUGCAAGUAUCUUUAGAUAGCUAUAUUUCUCCUAAACUAGAAGCUACUAGUGGGUAGGAAAUAGGUAAUUUAGUAGUAUUAAUAUUUUUACUUUUAGGACCCAACACAGUGCCUGACACAUAGGAGAAGCUCAAGAGACAUUUGCCAAAUAGAUGAUUCUGUACAUUUCUUACCUGACUGCCAGUCCCAUCAUUCCAACUACUUAUAAGACAACUCUGGCAGGACUUUCAGCCAUCGCCUUAGACUCAAACAACUUAAAACUCAUGUUAUUCAUUCCAUGCUGAACUGGUUAAUAUUAGGUUUGUCUGCAUAUAGCAGGGGAAAAAAUCAACAAACAACAAAACAAUGUCAAUUCUCCAUUAUAUAAAUAACUCCAAAGGUGGUGUGGUGAUUUUACAGUGACUUCAGGGAACCAGGCUCCUAUUUUUCUCUUCUACUAUCCUUAGCACUUAGCUUCUACCCUAAAAGUCACCUUAUGGCCCAAGAUGGAUGGACACAUGCUGGAUUAGCAGCAGGAGGAGAAAGGAGUGAAAUUCCUUUAAAUGACCUUUCCUGAUGCACCACAGAGCUUUUCCAUUUACAAUGUUUUGGCCCAGAUUUAACCAAUGGCCACUCCUAGCUACAAAGAAGGAUGAGAUAUAUUUUUAUUCCAGAUAAAUAAAAAAGUGCCCACCUAAAACUUGGGGUUCUGUUACUAGGUACAAAAAAUAAAACAGAAAUAGUCCUGUGUCUUUUGAUUUCUUAUCCAGCAUUUUUAUUUCUAUUUAAAAUGUCAAAAAUUUCAUUAUUUGACUGCACUUAAUCUUUAUUUGCAUUUAAAAAACACAACUCUGGUAGCUGGAAGAAGAAUGAAUUGGAAGUGGAACACACUGGGGGCACAGAGACCAAUAAGUUACAAGGGAACUACAGAAAUCCAAGAGAGAGAAGAUAAAGCCCUAAACCAAGCUAGUAAUAGUAGAGAUAAAAAGGAGAGGAUAUGGAGGAGCAUACAAGGAACAAAAAUUUAUAUGAGACUUCUGAAAGCCUAAGUUUUAAAAUCACACUGAAGAAAGAACAUAUGAUGUCCAAUAGGGUAGCCCUACCAACAUAAAACACUGUGGACCUUGCAGGAAGCCAAUUAAUAAAAUGGAGUAUUCAGUGAUAACUAGGAAAAGAAACUUUUGAAAACAUCUUGGAAUUUACUAAAAAGCCCUGAAAAAUAAUUGGAUGUACUCCUCAUUUACUUGCACCAAAUUUGCUCUGUUAACAAAGCUAAUUGCUCAGGAUGGAUUAUAGCAGCCUGAAUUAGGUGUGUGUGACAUGGUAUUUGUGUAUUAGUGUACGAUGAUGUACAUGUGUAAAACGUUGGUUGAACAAUAUGUAUCCAAUGACACUGUGACCACACCUCCCUCUAAGAUUUUGCAUAAAUAAAAAUUACAUUAGUUUUUGUUAUUGUAUCUGAUGCAACAAAAUACAUGGAAGUUAGGGGAGUAGAAAGAUCAGAAUGAAGGAGCAAUAUAAGGUCUUCUGCCUUUCUUCAUGGCCAACUUCUCAACUUUAAAAAGAAUCCACUCGGUGUAGGAGAUUGAAAAAUGCUUGGCAAUAUGAGCUUUUUAUUUUAUGGUAACAGAAGGUCCUUUAAAUUAAGAGAAUCCAUUUCAUGUUUAAAUAUAAUAAAGCAAGAUAUUACCAAUAUCUUGCUCCAAUUCAAUUGACAGCAUCAGGGCUCAUUGCAGUAUCUAACUAAAGGUUCACCCUUGCCACUGUUUCCAAAUGAAUUCAUUCAUUCACUUACUCAUCCUGCAAAUAUUUAUUUGGGGUCUACUAUGUGCCUAGCACUAUGUGAAGAACUAAAAAUACAGUAGUGCUUUAACUAGACAUUUCCUCUUGGCACACAUUUGAUUUACAUUUCCAGCCUCCCCUGCAGUUAGUGGGGCUAUCAGAUCAGUUUCUGAUGUAUGAAAUGUCAUACAUAAACUUCUUUCACAAUAUUCAAUGCCCUUCCUUUUUCUCUGUCCAUGAGCUGACUGGAGAAGUUUCAAAGGAUCUGGGGACAAGGAGUGAAGAAAGGAGCAAAAGGAAGAAGACCAGAAUCUGAGACAAGGAAUUGUCCCAUGUGCUCGAAGUCUUUGAAGAGCAAAAAUCAAGGAGAGUAAGAAUGGAAGCCACUCAACUACUGCUUCAGAACAAAGUUAGCACGGGCUCCUGAGAAAUGACUAGAAGAUAUGCCUGGGAUUCAAAGGACCUCAGAGCCACCCAUAGCUAAUGUCCCUGUCAUCCAACAGAUGCUGUGGCUUUGGGAAAGAACAGCCUUUCUUGACCUCAAAUCUUUGUGUCUGAAAAAUGAGAGGGGUACCAGAUGCUACCUAAGCAGUCUUCCUACCUAAAAUGUAUGAGUAUAAGAAGAAUGAUCAAUUUUAAUCUCAAAAUACAAUUCUCACCUUUCAGUUACCAAGAUACAGCCCCCUUCCCUUAACCUGAGCUACAACAAAACAUAAGUUCAAUAGAGAAUUGAUUAAUGAGUAUAAAAAGGCAGCCCUGUGUUCUUGUGCUCAGAAUUGGUUGGCUCUGUUCAAUUCAAUGAGCAAGAAGACUGAAUCCUGUACUGUGUUUCAUUAGCAAGUACAAUAGCCCAGUUUUGAUAAAGUGACUCAAAUCACCUGAUCUCUUUUUAUUCCCCAUGUAUUAGCCAAACAUUAUUAUGAAGUAUGCUGUUGCCAGGCUACUAUUUAGAAUGUAUGUUAUAAGACAUGUCUGUAGGACUUUUGAAAUCAUCUUUCAGUUUUAUUCCCAGUAGUCACUUUCUAAGAAUUAAUUUCUCUUUUAUUAUGUGGUAAUAUUAAAGAGACAGUGUGUACAGUGUGUGUACAUAUGACUCACAGCAAAUUAAGAGUAUUGUGCCUUACUCUAUCCAGAGAAUCUCCCUGCCAAUGGUUGCUGCUCCCACCUUUUUCUCUGAGCCACAUCCUUGGCAUCUCACAGCUAGAUUACUGCAAUAGUUCCCCAACAGUCAGCCUGCCUCUCACAUUCUGAUAUGUCCUGGACUUCUUUGAUCAAUCCUGUUAAACCCCUAUGCCAGAGGGAACCCCUGCAUUAGUUUUUCUCAUGCAUUGAUUUUGCUUUCAUUAGUAUGCUUACCUAAGAUAUGGUCUUUACAAAAUAUUUGAAGAUGAUGAUGGUGCAAGGAGAUGAUGAGAAUUACCUUUGAUUUUGGGUGGACUGCUGCUGCUUCCAUCCUAAAAUGUGCCUACAUUGUUCUUUAUCUUACCAUAGGAUCUCUAAUCAUUCUCCCUGUAACUAACUGGAAAUAUGUGAUAACAAUUAGAGUCCCUGUAAUCUCAGCACUUUAGGAGGAUGAGGCGGGCGGAUUGCUUGAGCCCAGGAGUUUGAGACCAGCCUGGGCAACAUGGCAAAACCCAGCCACUACCAACAAAAAUACAAAAAUUAGCCAGGCGUGGUGGUGCACACCUGUAGUCCCAGCUACUUGGGAGACUGAGGUGGGAGGAUAGCUUGAGCCCAGGAGAUGGAGGUUGCAGUGAGCCGAGAUCAUGACACUGCACUCCAGCCUGGGUAAUAGAACCAGACUGUUAAAAAA